CCCCUUUUUGGCAUAAUCAAAAAGGCAUAAAACAUAAAAAAUAGAGAGAAAAACACUUCAUUAAACAGCACAAAGGCAAACAGCAGUCAAAAACAACAGAUUCAAGAGAAUAUCAGAGCUAAAAAAGAAAAGACAGAAGCAAAAACACUAGGCAACCAAAAUAAAUCCUAAGUGCCUAAGGGUUUGGAGGAGGAGGAAGUCUCUGUAGUAGCAUGGCAAACAUAUUCUGGAGGUUUUCAUUCAGAGCGUCUUGUUUGUCCAUCCUUGCCCGGAGCUCACUCUGAUCUUGCUUGAUCUCUUUCUGAUCUUGCUUGAUCUCCUUCAGAGUGUUAAGAAUCAGAGGGAUCGCAGAG
Molecule: long non-coding RNA, 353 nt
Filed under: Lathyrus oleraceus (garden pea)
Lineage: Eukaryota; Viridiplantae; Streptophyta; Magnoliopsida; Fabales; Fabaceae
Description: Pisum sativum (pea) long non-coding RNA (PSAT_LNC010622)
Source: RNAcentral